Molecule: unclassified non-coding RNA, 215 nt
Filed under: Hevea brasiliensis (rubber tree)
Lineage: Eukaryota; Viridiplantae; Streptophyta; Magnoliopsida; Malpighiales; Euphorbiaceae
Source: RNAcentral
GAUUUCUUAAACAGAGCAUAAUUUAAAAAGACUGUAGCCAACCACAUCUGGUUGGAAAUUGUGGCUUAGUUGAGUUUAUUAAAGUCAUUGUUGUUGUAUUUACUAACCUUUGGAGUAAAUGGGAGCUACUGAACACCUCCUGGGAGCUUCUUAAGCUCAGUGUGACCAAGUGCCUCUUGAAAAUUGAGGUUAUGGCUUAUUUUGGUAAUUAUUGG